This 428-nucleotide ribosomal RNA is filed under the name Staphylococcus epidermidis. RNAcentral's name for it is "bacterial SSU rRNA". It matches the Rfam family "Bacterial small subunit ribosomal RNA", at positions 899 to 1326 of the family's 1533-position model. Lineage: Bacteria; Bacillati; Bacillota; Bacilli; Caryophanales; Staphylococcaceae. The record is from RNAcentral.
UUUCAAAUGAAUUGACGGGGGCCCGCACAAGCGGUGGAGCAUGUGGUUUAAUUCGAAGCAACGCGAAGAACCUUACCAAAUCUUGACAUCCUCUGACCCCUCUAGAGAUAGAGUUUUCCCCUUCGGGGGACAGAGUGACAGGUGGUGCAUGGUUGUCGUCAGCUCGUGUCGUGAGAUGUUGGGUUAAGUCCCGCAACGAGCGCAACCCUUAAGCUUAGUUGCCAUCAUUAAGUUGGGCACUUUAAGUUGACUGCCGGUGACAAACCGGAGGAAGGUGGGGAUGACGUCAAAUCAUCAUGCCCCUUAUGAUUUGGGCUACACACGUGCUACAAUGGACAAUACAAAGGGCAGCGAAACCGCGAGGUCAAGCAAAUCCCAUAAAGUUGUUCUCAGUUCGGAUUGUAGUCUGCAACUCGACUAUAUGAAGC